UCUAACAAUAUAAAAUAAAGUGAAGUGAACUGUGAAAUUAAAAGUAUACAUAUUUAGAUAACAAAAAAAGACUUAACUUAAAAGUCUUAGUUACCAGGUCAUAAAAUCCCAAAAAAUGAGUAUCAGUAACAUAAUAAUUAUACCUACUGAUUAGAAUUAUUUUUAGUAAGUUAGGACAUGAAAUAUGAAUAUUAAAGUUGGAUAAUUUUUGUAAACUGAUUAACUAAUAUUUACAUUAAAAUGGCAGAGUUCGAAAACUCGAUUAUGUAUCCAAAUGCAAUAGCUGUACAAGUAGAUGUUCAACAUCGUAAUUGUUCACAAUUCAGUAUAUCACAUAAAUCAGUCCAACAGGGAUAUCCAAAAACAGCUGUAGAGCGAAUGAGAGCCUAUAGAGCCAGGAAAAAGAAAGAAAUUCCGAUAGAGAAUCAUCGAAAACCAAAAUCUGAUGCAGAGCGUGCGCGAGAGUAUAGAGCCCGAAAAAAGGGUAAAACCCAGUCAACAGAAGAUAAAAAAUGCUGGAAGAAUAUUAGGCAGGAGUUUGGCGAACAAUCGAAGAAAAGUGUAGACAGUCUGCUGCCAACAUUCAAGACGGACAAUGAACAUGUUACAAUGGAUACUGAGAAAAUUUACAUAAAGCAGGAAUUGCCAGAUUCCUUCGAUAUGCCGGAGUUUAUAGAUGUUAACACAUCGUUCAUCAAACAGGAGUGUAAAGAGGAGAUAGAUGGAAGAGAGUAAGUUACCAGGAACCUUCGAGAACUCUACGAGACCCUCUGAGAACUUUACGAGACCCUCCGAGAACUCUACGAGACCCUCCGAGAACUCUACGGGACCCUCCGAGAACUCUACGAGACCCUCCGAGAUCUCUACGCGACCCUCCGAGAACUCUUCGAGAACCUCCGAAAACCCUCAUAAAACUAUAUUUUCGCAGUUUUCAAGAUGUGUAAAACGAAUGGGGAAAUGUGUAAAAACUAUUACAAUCGGAAAAAAGCUGCCAAGGAAGCUGAAAAAAUUCGAAUUGGCUUGUCAAUAAAGAAACCAAUGAAAAAAACAGGAGCAGAACGUACUCGUGCUUGUAAGCUGCGAAAAAGAAUGCAUUCACAAGUACAGAAGAAUCCGGUAACGACGGCCAAGGGACCGGUGAUGGUGAACGCACAGACAAUUUUUGUUUAUGAUUAAUCACAUGCAUAGGGGAAUUGUGCUUUAGAUGACAUACUUUUUGUUUGGAGGCAAAUAUGUCUAGAUUGAAAGAUAAAACAAAAUAUUAUUAACGUUUAUUUACGAAGCAAAAAAAUUAAUACUAACGCUACAGAAACUUAAGGACUUUUAAAUAAAAAUAAAAAAACACCACCACCUUCAUGUGGGUAAGACGACACAUCAGUGUAAGUUGAAAUACACUAAUUUGGAUAAGGUGACACAGUGUCUGUAAAUUGACAUAAACACUAAUUAUCGGUGCACAGUUCACAACUAAACAUUUUAUUUCGUGGUGUAACGCCAACACAUAGAGCAUCUUAAGCACAAUUCCCCUAAUGUAUUUAUUGAUAUUUAGGUGACCAGCAAAUAAAAAAAAAUUAAAUCAA
Leptidea sinapis is the source of this 1577-nucleotide long non-coding RNA. RefSeq lists it as uncharacterized. The transcript is spliced from 6 exons. Lineage: Eukaryota; Metazoa; Arthropoda; Insecta; Lepidoptera; Pieridae. The record is from RefSeq and is a predicted model, not a curated record.